Molecule: long non-coding RNA, 338 nt
Organism: Eleginops maclovinus (Patagonian blennie)
Lineage: Eukaryota; Metazoa; Chordata; Actinopteri; Perciformes; Eleginopidae
Exons: 3
Source: RefSeq, a predicted model, not a curated record
CUUUCCGUGGAGGAGUCAGACUUGCACGGACAUUGAGCAGACUGCAAACUUUCUUCGGACAAACGGGUUGGAUGGUGUUGAAUGCACUGGAGAAAUCAAAGAAUAUGAUCCUGACAAGGCCCCCAGCCUUCUCCAGGUGGGAGAGGGACCUCUGCAGCAGGUGGAUGACGGCUUCAUCCACCCCGAUGUCAGGCUGUUCCUCUCUGCAUCAUUCCUUGUGGUUGACCAGAGUGAUCUGAAGAGGCUAAAGGAGGCAUACACGUUCUGCGGAAUCUCUCCAGCUAAUCCCACGAAGCAGCACACGAGAGAGCACUGCAGGACAAAGGUGCCACAGCCCA